UGAUGCGAUCAUACCAGCACUAAUGCACUUGAUCCUAUCAGAACACCGCAGUUAAGUGUGCUUGGGCGAGAGUAGUAGUAGGAUGGGUGACCUCCAGAAAAGUCUUCGUGUUGCAUCCC
Ribosomal RNA from Arabidopsis thaliana (thale cress), 119 nucleotides. NCBI's taxonomy places the organism in Eukaryota, Viridiplantae, Streptophyta, Magnoliopsida, Brassicales, Brassicaceae. The record is from Rfam.